RNAcentral lists this unclassified non-coding RNA (238 nucleotides) under uncultured fungus. RNAcentral's name for it is "sequence contains ITS2". The stretch from base 1 to 52 matches the Rfam family "5.8S ribosomal RNA", at positions 103 to 154 of the family's 154-position model. The record is from RNAcentral. Lineage: Eukaryota; Fungi.
AACGCACAUUGCGCCCCUUGGUAUUCCGAGGGGCACGCCUGUUCGAGCGUCAUUUAAACAAUCAAGCCUUGCUUGGUCUUGGGCGCGGUCGAGUGACCCGUCCGUAACCCGUUGGCGGUGCAGUCCGGCUUCAAGCGUAGCAAAAAUUUCGCUUCAGGAGUCCGCGGCGGUACCCGCCAGGUAACUUGCAUACCUAAAGUUUGACCUCGGAUCAGGUGAGGAUACCCGCUGAACUUAA